RNAcentral lists this ribosomal RNA (322 nucleotides) under uncultured eukaryote. RNAcentral's name for it is "partial 18S ribosomal RNA". It matches the Rfam family "Eukaryotic small subunit ribosomal RNA", at positions 1470 to 1796 of the family's 1831-position model. The record is from RNAcentral.
CCCUUAGAUGUUCUGGGCCGCACGCGUGCUACACUGAGUGGAUCAGCGGGUCAGGUUGCGCGAAAGCGUUUCCUAAUCUUUAAAUCCGCUCGUGAUGGGGAUUGACGGUUGCAAUUUUCUGUCAUAAACGAGGAAUACCUUGUAAGCGCGGGUCAUCAUCCCGCGCUGAAUACGUCCCUGCCCUUUGUACACACCGCCCGUCGCUCCUACCGAUUGAGUGGUCCGGUGAGGCUUUGGGAUCUGAGCGGAAAGAGCGUUUCGCUGUUUCUGCUCGGAAAACUCAGUCGAACCUUAUCAUUUAGAGGAAGGAGAAGUCGUAACA